This 464-nucleotide ribosomal RNA is filed under the name uncultured bacterium. Its description in RNAcentral is "partial 16S ribosomal RNA". It matches the Rfam family "Bacterial small subunit ribosomal RNA", at positions 28 to 503 of the family's 1533-position model. The record is from RNAcentral.
GACGAACGCUGGCGGCGUGCUUAACACAUGCAAGUCGAACGGAAAGGCCCUGCUUUUGUGGGGUGCUCGAGUGGCGAACGGGUGAGUAACACGUGAGUAACCUGCCCUUGACUUUGGGAUAACUUCAGGAAACUGGGGCUAAUACCGGAUAGGAGCUCCUGCUGCAUGGUGGGGGUUGGAAAGUUUCGGCGGUUGGGGAUGGACUCGCGGCUUAUCAGCUUGUUGGUGGGGUAGUGGCUUACCAAGGCUUUGACGGGUAGCCGGCCUGAGAGGGUGACCGGCCACAGUGGGGAGGAGAUACGGACCGGACUGCUACGGGAGGCAGCAGUGGGGAAUAUGGCACAAGGGGGGGAAGUCUGAUGCCGCAACGCCGCGUGAGGGAUGAGGGCCUGCGGGUUGUAAAUCAGUUUCGCCUGAUACAAAUCGGGAGUGACGCUAAUGGGUAAGGAAGGACCGGCUAACUA